GAUGAACGCUGGCGGCGUGCUUAACACAUGCAAGUCGAACGGAAAGGCCCAAGCUUGCUUGGGUACUCGAGUGGCGAACGGGUGCGUAACACGUGGGUGAUCUGCCCUGCACUUCGGGAUAAGCCUGGGAAACUGGGUCUAAUACCGGAUAGGACGAUGGUUUGGAUGCCAUUCUGGAAAGUUUUUUCGGUGUGGGAUGGGCUCGCGGCCUAUCAGCUUUUUGGUGGGGUAGUGGCCUACCAAGGCGUCGACGGGUAGCCGUCCUGAGAGAGUGUACGGCCACAUUGGGACUGAGCUACGGGCCAGACUCCUGCGGGUGGCAGCAGUGGGGAAUAUUGCACAAUGGGAGCCAGCCUGAGGCAGCGAGGCCGCGGGGGGGAUGACGGCCUUCGGGUUGUAAGCACCUCUCGCUAGGGACGAAGCGUUUUUGUGACGGUACCUGGAGAAGAAGCACCGGCUAACUACGUG
Molecule: ribosomal RNA, 468 nt
Filed under: uncultured bacterium
Lineage: Bacteria
Description: partial 16S ribosomal RNA
Rfam family: Bacterial small subunit ribosomal RNA
Source: RNAcentral